This 432-nucleotide ribosomal RNA is filed under the name uncultured bacterium. RNAcentral's name for it is "partial 16S ribosomal RNA". It matches the Rfam family "Bacterial small subunit ribosomal RNA", at positions 29 to 507 of the family's 1533-position model. The record is from RNAcentral.
ACGAACGCUGGCGGCAUGCCUAACACAUGCAAGUCGAACGAGACCUUCGGGUCUAGUGGCGCACGGGUGCGUAACGCGUGGGAACCUGCCCUUAGGUUCGGAAUAACUCCCCGAAAGGGGUGCUAAUACCGGAUAAUGUCUUCGGACCAAAGAUUUAUCGCCUUUGGAUGGGCCCGCGUUGGAUUAGCUAGUUGGUAGGGUAAAAGCCUACCAAGGCGACGAUCCAUAGCUGGUCUGAGAGGAUGAUCAGCCACACUGGGACUGAGACACGGCCCAGACUCCUACGGGAGGUAGCAGUGGGGAAUAUUGGACAAUGGGCGAAAGCCUGAUCCAGCAAUGCCGCGUGAGUGAUGAAGGCCUUAGGGUUGUAAAGCUCUUUUACCCGGGAUGAUAAUGACAGUACCGGGAGAAUAAGCGCCGGCUAACUCCGUG